GAAGUGUCUUCAAGGCGGAGAGGCGCUGCCCAAGUUGCUUGGAAGAGCACACCGCAGAGGGUGACAGUCCCGUACGCGGCAGCGAAUACCGUCGACGAUGCACUUUCCACGAGUCGGGUUGCUUGGGAAUGCAGCCCAAAAUGGGAGGUAGACUCCUUCUAAAGCUAAAUAUUGACACGAGACCGAUAGCGAACAAGUACCGUGAGGGAAAGAUGAAAAGCACUUUGAAAAGAAAGUCAAAAGUACGUGAAACCGUCAGUGGGGAAGCGCAUGGAAUUAGCAGUGUCUCGGAGAGAUUCAGGUCGCCGAGGGGGUCGGGUUGGCGCACGGAUCCGAUGGACCGUGCCGUCGGCCCGGACCCCGUAGGCGGCUGCACUUCUCUCCGCGACGAGUCAACAAAUGUUGGGCGAGAGGCAGACCCUAUUCUUGAAGGUGGCCGGCCUUGGUCGGUGUUAUAGCUAGAUGACGGCAUCUCUGGCCCGACAUGGGCGAGCGGAGCAUUCCCCUCGGGGAUGGCCUUCGGGCACAAAUGCUUCCACGGUUGUUGGCGGUCAAAUGAUUUCAUACGACCCGUCUUGAAACACGGACCAAGGAGUCUAACAUGUGUGCGAGUCUUCGAGUGAUCGAAACUCACAGGCGCAAUGAAAGUGAUAUGUACUACGGUGAGAUCUCGGUGAUUGAAAUGCACCCGGCGCAUCAUCGACCGACCUACCUAUCUCGCGAUACAGGUUUGAGUAAGAGCACACGUGCUGGGACCCGAAAGAUGGUGAACUAUGCUUGAGUAGGGUGAAGCCAGAAGAAAUUCUGGUGGAGGCUCGUAGCGAUUCUGACGUGCAAAUCGAUCGUCAAACUUGUGCAUAGGGGCGAAAGACUAAUCGAACCAUUUAGUAGCUGGUUCCCUCCGAAGUUUCCCUUAGGAUAGCUGGAGUUCGGAGUAACAGUUUCAUCCGGUAAAGCGAAUGAUUAGAGGUAUCAGGGAUGAAACAUUUUUGACCUAUUCUCAAACUUUCAAUGGGUGAGAAGUCCCGCCUGCCUGACGGAGGCGCGGACAGUGAAUGAAGGAGCUCCGAGUGGGCCAUUUUUGGUAAGCAGAACUGGCGAUGCGGGAUGAACCGAACGCGCGAGUUAAGGUGCCUAAAUCGACGCUCAUCAGACCCCACAAAAGGUGUUGGUUGAUCUUGACAGCAGGACGGUGGCCAUGGAAGUCGGAAUCCGCUAAGGAGUGUGUAACAACCCACCUGCCGAAUCAACUAGCCCUGAAAAUGGAUGGCGCUCAAGCGUCGUACCUAUACUCGGCCCACACUGCGACCCUGAGUAGCAGUCAGUGUGGAGUAGGAGGGCGUGGAGGUUGUGCCGAAGCGCUUGGCGUGAGCCUGCGUGGAACGGCCUCUAGUGCAGAUCUUGGUGGUAGUAGCAAAUAUUCAAACGAGAACUUUGAAGGCCGAAGUGGAGAAAGGUUCCGUGUGAACAGCACUUGGACACGGGUUAGUCGAUCCUAAGGAUCAAGUUAACUCUGACGUGUAAGCGUGCACUCCGUGUGCACCCGAGCCGAAAGGGAAUCAGGUUAACAUUCCUGAACCAGAACGCGGAUAUCUGCGUGCGGUGUCAAAGCCGAGCGCAGUGUUACGGCAACGUAAGCGAACCCGGAGACGCUCUCGGGGACCCCGGGGAGAGUUCUCUUUUCUUGUUAACAGCCCGCCGGCACCGUGGAAGUUGCUUGCCAAGAGAUACGGUCCGCGCGGCUGGUAAAGCCCUACAUGUGCCGUAGGGUCCGGUGCGUUCCCGAAGGCCCUUGAAAAUCCGGGGGAGAGAAUGAUUUUCGCGUCUGUUCGUACUCAUAACCGCAGCAGGUCUCCAAGGUGAGCAGCCUCUGGCCCAUAGAACAAUGUAGGUAAGGGAAGUCGGCAAAACGGAUCCGUAACUUCGGGAAAAGGAUUGGCUCUAAGGGUCGAGCCGGUCGGGCUGCGCCCGGCGGUCGGGGCUCGUUGGGACGGACUGCCAGUGCUCACGCGCCGGUGGACCGACCCUCUGACCCUGUCCAACGGACGUAGCUUGCGUGCCCCGCGAGGGUGUCUCGCAGCAGACCGACAAUGAACGACCGACUUAGAACUGGUACGGACAAGGGGAAUCCGACUGUUUAAUUAAAACAAAGCAUUGCGACGGUUGGAAAGCAAUGUUGACGCAAUGUGAUUUCUGCCCAGUGCUCUGAAUGUCAAAGUGAAGAAAUUCAUCCAAGCGCGGGUAAACGGCGGGAGUAAGUAUGACUCUCUUAAGGUAGCCAAAUGCCUCGUCAUUUAUUUAGUGACGCGCAUGAAUGGAUUAACGAGAUUCCCACUGUCCCUAUUUCCUAUCUAGCGAAACGACAGCCAAGGGAACGGGCUUGGCAAAAUCAGCGGGGAAAGAAGACCCAGUUGAGCUUGACUCUAGUCUGACUCUGUGAAGGGACAUAGGAGGUGUAGCAUAGGUGGGAGUGCGCAAGUACGCAAGUGAAAUACCACUACUCUUAUAGUUCCU
Molecule: ribosomal RNA, 2514 nt
Filed under: Plumularia filicaulis
Lineage: Eukaryota; Metazoa; Cnidaria; Hydrozoa; Leptothecata; Plumulariidae
Description: eukaryotic LSU rRNA
Rfam family: Eukaryotic large subunit ribosomal RNA
Source: RNAcentral